Molecule: transfer RNA, 67 nt
Filed under: Eptatretus atami
Lineage: Eukaryota; Metazoa; Chordata; Myxini; Myxiniformes; Myxinidae
Description: tRNA-Ala
Rfam family: tRNA
About the family: Transfer RNA (tRNA) molecules are approximately 80 nucleotides in length. Their secondary structure includes four short double-helical elements and three loops (D, anti-codon, and T loops). Further hydrogen bonds mediate the characteristic L-shaped molecular structure. tRNAs have two regions of fundamental functional importance: the anti-codon, which is responsible for specific mRNA codon recognition, and the 3' end, to which the tRNAs corresponding amino acid is attached (by aminoacyl-tRNA synthetases). tRNAs cope with the degeneracy of the genetic code in two manners: having more than one tRNA (with a specific anti-codon) for a particular amino acid; and 'wobble' base-pairing, i.e. permitting non-standard base-pairing at the 3rd anti-codon position.
Source: RNAcentral
CAGGAAAUUUUAGCUUAAUUAAAGCGUUUGAUUUGCAAUCAAAAGAUGUAAGUAAUUACAAGUUUUC